AAGGUGGCCUGUGAGGGUUGCUGGAGGUAUCAGAAGUGCGAAUGCUGACAUAAGUAACGAUAAAGCGGGUGAAAAGCCCGCUCGCCGGAAGACCAAGGGUUCCUGUCCAACGUUAAUCGGGGCAGGGUGAGUCGACCCCUAAGGCGAGGCCGAAAGGCGUAGUCGAUGGGAAACGGGUUAAUAUUCCCGUACUUGGUGUUACUGCGAAGGGGGGACGGAGAAGGCUAUGUUGGCCGGGCGACGGUUGUCCCGGUUUAAGCGUGUAGGUGUGUGUUCCAGGUAAAUCCGGUUCACUUUAACACUGAGGCGUGAUGACGAGGCACUACGGUGCUGAAGCAACAAAUGCCCUGCUUCCAGGAAAAGCCUCUAAGCAUCAGGUAACAUCAAAUCGUACCCCAAACCGACACAGGUGGUCAGGUAGAGAAUACCAAGGCGCUUGAGAGAACUCGGGUGAAGGAACUAGGCAAAAUGGUGCCGUAACUUCGGGAGAAGGCACGCUGACACGUAGGUGAAGUGAUUUACUCAUGGAGCUGAAGUCAGUCGAAGAUACCAGCUGGCUGCAACUGUUUAUUAAAAACACAGCACUGUGCAAACACGAAAGUGGACGUAUACGGUGUGACGCCUGCCCGGUGCCGGAAGGUUAAUUGAUGGGGUCAGCGCAAGCGAAGCUCCUGAUCGAAGCCCCGGUAAACGGCGGCCGUAACUAUAACGGUCCUAAGGUAGCGAAAUUCCUUGUCGGGUAAGUUCCGACCUGCACGAAUGGCGUAAUGAUGGCCAGGCUGUCUCCACCCGAGACUCAGUGAAAUUGAACUCGCUGUGAAGAUGCAGUGUACCCGCGGCAAGACGGAAAGACCCCGUGAACCUUUACUAUAGCUUGACACUGAACAUUGAGCCUUGAUGUGUAGGAUAGGUGGGAGGCUUUGAAGUGUGGACGCCAGUCUGCAUGGAGCCGACCUUGAAAUACCACCCUUUAAUGUUUGAUGUUCUAACGUGGACCCGUUACCCGGGUUGCGGACAGUGUCUGGUGGGUAGUUUGACUGGGGCGGUCUCCUCCUAAAGAGUAACGGAGGAGCACGAAGGUUGGCUAAUCCUGGUCGGACAUCAGGAGGUUAGUGCAAUGGCAUAAGCCAGCUUGACUGCGAGCGUGACGGCGCGAGCAGGUGCGAAAGCAGGUCAUAGUGAUCCGGUGGUUCUGAAUGGAAGGGCCAUCGCUCAACGGAUAAAAGGUACUCCGGGGAUAACAGGCUGAUACCGCCCAAGAGUUCAUAUCGACGGCGGUGUUUGGCACCUCGAUGUCGGCUCAUCACAUCCUGGGGCUGAAGUAGGUCCCAAGGGUAUGGCUGUUCGCCAUUUAAAGUGGUACGCGAGCUGGGUUUAGAACGUCGUGAGACAGUUCGGUCCCUAUCUGCCGUGGGCGCUGGAGAACUGAGGGGGGCUGCUCCUAGUACGAGAGGACCGGAGUGGACGCAUCACUGGUGUUCGGGUUGUCAUGCCAAUGGCACUGCCCGGUAGCUAAAUGCGGAAGAGAUAAGUGCUGAAAGCAUCUAAGCACGAAACUUGCCCCGAGAUGAGUUCU
This 1576-nucleotide ribosomal RNA is filed under the name Salmonella enterica. RNAcentral describes it as "bacterial LSU rRNA". It matches the Rfam family "Bacterial large subunit ribosomal RNA", at positions 1253 to 2812 of the family's 2925-position model. The record is from RNAcentral. Lineage: Bacteria; Pseudomonadati; Pseudomonadota; Gammaproteobacteria; Enterobacterales; Enterobacteriaceae.